RNAcentral lists this ribosomal RNA (490 nucleotides) under uncultured bacterium. Its description in RNAcentral is "partial 16S ribosomal RNA". It matches the Rfam family "Bacterial small subunit ribosomal RNA", at positions 29 to 507 of the family's 1533-position model. The record is from RNAcentral.
AGUGAACGCUGGCGGCAGGCCUAACACAUGCAAGUCGAACGGUAACAGAGAGAGGCUUGCUUCUUUGCUGACGAGUGUCGGGCGGGUGAGUAAUGUCUGGGGAACUCCCUUAUGGCGUGGGAGAACAACUAGAAACGCUAACUCAUACCGCACAACGUCCCUACACGAAAAAGCAGGAGCUUCGUGCCCCUUGCCAUCUGAUAUGCCCAGAUGGGAUUAGCUAGUAGUUGGGGUAACGGCUCACCUAGGCGACGAUCCCUAGCUGGUCUGAGAGGAUGACCAGCCACACUGGAACUGAGACACGGUCCAGACUCCUACGGGAGGCAGCAGUGGGGAAUAUUGGACAAUGGGCGCAAGCCUGAUGCAGCCAUGCCGCGUGUAUGAAGAAGGCCUUCGGGUUGUAAAGUACUUUUGGCGGGGAGGAAGAGAGGAAAGUUAAUACCUCGGCGUAUUGACGGUACCCGAAGAAGAAGCACCGGCUAACUUCGUG